Small nuclear RNA from Hemiscyllium ocellatum (epaulette shark), 107 nucleotides. Lineage: Eukaryota; Metazoa; Chordata; Chondrichthyes; Orectolobiformes; Hemiscylliidae. The record is from RefSeq and is a predicted model, not a curated record.
GUGCUUCUUUCAGCAUCACAUAUACUUAACUUGGAAUGAUACAGUGAACAUUAUUGUGUCUCCUGCAUAAGGAUGACACAUACGUUCGUGACGAGUUCUAUAGCAGU